GUGUUCCACCUGUGCUGGUUGCCAUCACGUUAGUGGGAAGGUUUUUUGCCUGCCCAGGUGCUCUUUAAGAGUAGCUGGCCCAGUCCUCUUGAGAGAUGUAGAGGGACCCUCCCUAUCUGAUUUCUAGAAAAAUAUUCCUUUGUCUGAUUUAGUUUUGUGCCACCUUUUUGGCAUUGAAAUAACCUGGUGGAGCUUGUGACCUCCUGUGGGAACUACAGCCAGUACCGCCAGCGUAUCUCAGAGAGCACGGGCUUUCGCUUCCCCAUCCUGGGAGUGCACCUCAAGGACCUGAUAGCAGUGCACGUGACCCUGCCCGACUGAAGCGACUGCGAGAAGACCCAGGUCAACCUGGCCAAGACCCAUCAGCUGUAUUCAAUCCUCCAGGAGCUAGCGCUGAUCCAGACCACACCACCCAGUGUUGAUGCCACCAUGGACCUGCUCAACCUGCUCAUGGUUUGGCCCAGAUGACUGAUACUGAAUGACUUGAUAGAUUUGUUUUACCGUCAGUGUUUAACAAUUCCACCACUGAUGAAGACGGCUACAUCUCUCAGGAGGAAAUUGAGAUCAUUAGGACCAACUUCCCAUACCUCUGCAAGUUUGAUGACCUGGACAAGAGUCACCUGUGGGGUGAGCUGUCACAAAGACUGUCGCAGCCGCCUUGCUGUUGAGUGCUGCAAACCAACAAAGAGUGCCAGUCACGAUCCUUCAGUGUGCCUGAUAUGGUUUAGCCCCUACACAUUCUACAUCACAGAGCCAUUGCAGAGGAAGCACCUGACUCUCUGGAGGAUGAAGUGUUUGAUGUCCACCUUUGAGAACAGUCUCACUUCGUCGGGCGUGGACUCCACAGGGAUGCUGGCCCAUGUUGACUCCAAUGCUUCCCACACUUUUGUGAAGUUUACUGGAUGUCGUUUGGGUGGCGGACCAUUCUACACAUAGGAAACUGUUGAAUGUGAAAAACCCAGCAGCGUUGCAGUUCUUGAUACACUGAAACCAGUGCGCCAGGCACCUACUCCCUUACCCCGUUCAAAGAAUGAAGACCAACAUUGACGAGAACACAAACUUUUCCCAUGCUGCCAAGCUGAACUUAAAUGGGGACCGACAGCAAUGACACUCUGAAGAUAGAAAUGUAUUUGCUCCUGUUUGGAUAUACAAUGCACGCUAAGAACAUUGCAAUUUUCGGACUUUCUUAAGAAUGUCCACAUUUUCCCCAAAGUUUUAGAGCUAUUGAACCUGAGGAAGGAUUGUGUAACUAUAUGUUUACUUGCUAAUGAUAAUUUGAUGAUCCAGUCAAUACAUGUUGUGCUGAUUUGUGUAUUUGUUUUCUGAUGAAUUAAUCCUUCAUUCUCUCAGCCAUAGUAUUAUUUGCCCAGAGCUUUCACAGUAGGUAAACCUAGAGUAGAUGCAUAUCUCUGUAUGUGCUUGUAUACGGUUCAUGAUUGCUGAAGGUUGCUUCUCCGCAAGGUGGUGAGGUUUUGUGUCAACACUGGAUAGCAUAGGCUACCACUGGGAUUUAGCAUUCUGUAGUUCAUUCACAUUCCCUGUUUUUAGUGUAGCCCUAUGUUUGUGUAUAACAUGUGGGAGUGGAUUGUUGAUGACAAGUUAAAUUGAGGUUCUUUCCUCAGCUAGCCAACCAUGUUCAUGUUUGAUUACAUUGUAAUGUGGUACAAUUUAAAAG
This 1675-nucleotide long non-coding RNA is filed under the name Salmo salar (Atlantic salmon). RNAcentral's name for it is "lncRNA (ENSSSAG00000090222.1)". Lineage: Eukaryota; Metazoa; Chordata; Actinopteri; Salmoniformes; Salmonidae. The record is from RNAcentral.